This 531-nucleotide long non-coding RNA is filed under the name Cricetulus griseus (Chinese hamster). RNAcentral's name for it is "lncRNA (ENSCGRG00015029530.1)". Lineage: Eukaryota; Metazoa; Chordata; Mammalia; Rodentia; Cricetidae. The record is from RNAcentral.
AAUCUGUCUGCAUAUUGCCAUGCUCCCUACCAUGACAAUGGACUAACCCUCUGAAACAGUUGUGGCAAGAAUGGCAUCUUCAGUCCUCCUCAAGCCAGCUCAUGACAACAUCAAUAUCAAUAUUUUUCAGAGGACACACAGAUGAAAUGUUUCCUUUGAAAUUAAAUAUUUUCUUCCUGGGACAAUUUCCCUUUGGGUAUUGGGAGAGCUCAGUUUGCAGUCCGUCAUCCAGGGAAGCCUGGGCAGGAACUCAAGGCAGGAACCUGGAGGCAGGAGCUAAAGCAGCGAAUGUGGAGGAAGACCUUGUAUGGUGCUGGUUGUUGGUGGCACACGCCUUUAAUCCCAGCACUCGGGAGGCAGAGGCAGGUGGAUCUCUGUGAGUUCGAGGCCAGCCUGGUCUACAGAGCGAGUUCCAGGACAGGCUCCAAAGCAAUACAGAGAAACCCUGUCUCGAAAAAAAGGAAAAAAAAAAAAAAAAAGACUCGGUAUAGUUUGUUUCACUGCUCAUGUUUAGCUACCUCUUCUCUACAG